Molecule: non-coding RNA, 79 nt
Organism: Megalops atlanticus (tarpon)
Lineage: Eukaryota; Metazoa; Chordata; Actinopteri; Elopiformes; Megalopidae
Source: the annotation of a GenBank genome assembly
AGCAGUGUAGCGUAGUGGUUAAGGAGCAGGACUCGUAAUCCAAAGGUUGCUGGUUCAAUUACCUACUGGGGCACUGCUG